This 431-nucleotide ribosomal RNA is filed under the name uncultured bacterium. RNAcentral describes it as "partial 16S ribosomal RNA". It matches the Rfam family "Bacterial small subunit ribosomal RNA", at positions 29 to 507 of the family's 1533-position model. The record is from RNAcentral.
AACGAACGCUGGCGGCAGGCCUAACACAUGCAAGUCGAGCGCGCCUUCGGGUGAGCGGCGGACGGGUGGGUAACGCGUGGGAAUAUGCCCUUCUCUACGGAAUAGUCCUGGGAAACUGGGGGUAAUACCGUAUACGCCCUUUGGGGGAAAGAUUUAUCGGGGAAGGAUUAGCCCGCGUUGGAUUAGGUAGUUGGUGGGGUAAUGGCCUACCAAGCCGACGAUCCAUAGCUGGUUUGAGAGGAUGAUCAGCCACACUGGGACUGAGACACGGCCCAGACUCCUACGGGAGGCAGCAGUGGGGAAUCUUAGACAAUGGGGGCAACCCUGAUCUAGCCAUGCCGCGUGAGUGAUGAAGGCCUUAGGGUUGUAAAGCUCUUUCAGCUGGGAAGAUAAUGACGGUACCAGCAGAAGAAGCCCCGGCUAACUCCGUG